This 209-nucleotide long non-coding RNA is filed under the name Mus pahari (shrew mouse). Lineage: Eukaryota; Metazoa; Chordata; Mammalia; Rodentia; Muridae. The record is from RNAcentral.
GAACUGUCUGUCUUUUCCAUCUGGGCUGCACUGAGCUAAGAUGGUCAGGGACAUACUGUAUGGACAAUACACAUGCCAGAUGUUGUAAAUCUGUGAGUAAAGGAGUUUAUCCCAGCUACAUACUCUGAGCACAUGUUAUGCUAUGGGCAGAGCAAUGGGUAUCCUAUGAGAGGACCUUUCUUAGAAUGUUGGUUGCCUAGCAACAAGAC